Molecule: ribosomal RNA, 380 nt
Filed under: uncultured bacterium
Lineage: Bacteria
Description: bacterial SSU rRNA
Rfam family: Bacterial small subunit ribosomal RNA
Source: RNAcentral
AUUGAACGCUGGCGGCAUGCCUUACACAUGCAAGUCGAACGGUAACAGGUUAAGCUGACGAGUGGCGAACGGGUGAGUAACACAUCGGAACGUGCCCAAUCGUGGGGGAUAACGUAGCGAAAGCUACGCUAAUACCGCAUACGAUCUACGGAUGAAAGCGGGGGAUCGCAAGACCUCGCGCGAAUGGAGCGGCCGAUGGCAGAUUAGGUAGUUGGUGGGGUAAAGGCUCACCAAGCCGACGAUCUGUAGCUGGUCUGAGAGGACGACCAGCCACACUGGGACUGAGACACGGCCCAGACUCCUACGGGAGGCAGCAGUGGGGAAUUUUGGACAAUGGGCGCAAGCCUGAUCCAGCAAUGCCGCGUGCAGGAUGAAGGCCU